CAUUUAAGUGUUACAUUGUUUACUGUUGUGCUGUUUGUCUGCUCCCAAAUUGUUUCAUGUGUGCGCCGUUUGGUUGGCAGCUUCGGCGAUGCUUUCCAUAAGUCGUCGUUUAGUUGGUUUAUUUUUUCAGUGAAGCAUUGCCGCUAGCUAGUUAGCAUUAGCGAAACGUUCAAUAGCAACUACCUUCGUUGCAGCUCGGCCCCGGAGUUCAAUAGGCGUAAAUAGGUUCAACUUAAGAGGCGGUGGCUGUGUCGAAUUAAAUAUUUUAUAUUAAACUUUGAUUCUUUCAAUAAUCGCAAUAGGGACUUUUACGGUGAGUACGGCGACCAGAUAUGACGUCACAUUGUAGUUUUCCCCACCCUCGUGUUUACUUGUAGGCCACAAAUCGGCGACCAAAUAUGACGUCACAUUGUAGUUUUAUUACGUUGAGUUUACUUGGAUGCAACAAAUAUAUCUUACAAUGGUUUUCACUAUUACGCAUACUGUAAUAUAAAUAAAUUUUGAUGUUUAGUAGACAAACAACGCAUCCUAUGUUGAAAAAUCAAUGGACAUUUUGGGGUUAAAUUGUUGCGUUGGAAAGUGACGUCACCACGCCAAGUCUCGCGUGAGUUAUAGCCGCUUAUCGCGAUUGUUGCAGCCCGCGCGCAGUGGUCAGUCACAGACGGCGGUUAUCGACAGAGACUGUUGCUGUGAUUGUGUGCGUGUUUGCCAGAAAGUGAAUUGCUUUGAUCAGUUGAACUGCUUUGAUCAGAGUUCAUUCGCUUUGACCAAAGGCUGCCGACUGAGUCCCAACCCACCCCAACCCUCUUUAUCGCUGCUCCACCUUUUGUCUCUGACUUCUUUCACUCACUGUCCAUCUUGUGGUGUUGAUAAGACAAUCUGAUGUGUGGAUAAGACAAUCUGACUUGUGGAUAAGACAAUCUGAUUUGUGGAUAAGACAAUCUGACUUGUGGAUAAGACAAAAACCCUUUUUGGGCUGUGCAUUGAAAUAUAUCCCCUUGCAUCGGGGCCUGACUGUUGAGACUUCUUUAUUACCUGUUGUGUGGAAUCCAAUUGAGAAAAGACACGAGCCAUGCCACGCAAAAGCAAGAAGGCGCAAGCUGCCAAGGUAAGCUGGCAACAGCGUAAAAACAACACAGACUCUGGAAGUGCAGAUAAACCAACAACUGCCAAAGAAUUGAUGGCCAUUGAACCUGAAAACUCUAUGGAGGUAAUGAUGUCUACAUCUCAUGAUCCUGUAACAUGUGUUUUGGCAUCCUACAGUCAAGAUCAUCCAAAGUAUGCCGAUUCCAGAAACAGUCAGUGUGCUGCAAACUCUGCUACAUUUCUAGCUUUCCUGCAGGAGAUAGAGAAUGUGACCAGUGCUCACCUGGACCUUGUUCUCGAUCGAGGCAAUGAGCUUUAUGUGGCUACUGUGGCUGUGCUGAAAGCAGAAGGACGGUACGAACAUCAUCAUUUGGCAACCGAUGAAAUCCCAUCCAUUGUGAACGGCUUGCACAAACAGCAUGUGUUAAUAAAGUAUCAGUCAAUGUA
Long non-coding RNA from Syngnathus typhle (broad-nosed pipefish), 1533 nucleotides. RefSeq lists it as uncharacterized. Lineage: Eukaryota; Metazoa; Chordata; Actinopteri; Syngnathiformes; Syngnathidae. The transcript has 5 exons. The record is from RefSeq and is a predicted model, not a curated record.